Molecule: ribosomal RNA, 641 nt
Filed under: Streptomyces sp. I13A-01641
Lineage: Bacteria; Bacillati; Actinomycetota; Actinomycetes; Kitasatosporales; Streptomycetaceae
Description: bacterial SSU rRNA
Rfam family: Bacterial small subunit ribosomal RNA
Source: RNAcentral
GCGAACGGGUGAGUAACACGUGGGCAAUCUGCCCUGCACUCUGGGACAAGCCCUGGAAACGGGGUCUAAUACCGGAUACUUACCUGCCGAGGCAUCUUGGCGGGUGGAAAGCUCCGGCGGUGCAGGAUGAGCCCGCGGCCUAUCAGCUUGUUGGUGGGGUGAUGGCCUACCAAGGCGACGACGGGUAGCCGGCCUGAGAGGGCGACCGGCCACACUGGGACUGAGACACGGCCCAGACUCCUACGGGAGGCAGCAGUGGGGAAUAUUGCACAAUGGGCGAAAGCCUGAUGCAGCGACGCCGCGUGAGGGAUGACGGCCUUCGGGUUGUAAACCUCUUUCAGCAGGGAAGAAGCGAAAGUGACGGUACCUGCAGAAGAAGCGCCGGCUAACUACGUGCCAGCAGCCGCGGUAAUACGUAGGGCGCAAGCGUUGUCCGGAAUUAUUGGGCGUAAAGAGCUCGUAGGCGGCUUGUCACGUCGGUUGUGAAAGCCCGGGGCUUAACCCCGGGUCUGCAGUCGAUACGGGCAGGCUAGAGUGUGGUAGGGGAGAUCGGAAUUCCUGGUGUAGCGGUGAAAUGCGCAGAUAUCAGGAGGAACACCGGUGGCGAAGGCGGAUCUCUGGGCCAUUACUGACGCUGAGGA